GACGCGGUGGCCGAGCGGUUAAGGCGUGUGACUAGAAAUCACAUCUCUUCGGAGGCACAGGUUCAAAUCCUGUCCACGUCG
RNAcentral lists this transfer RNA (81 nucleotides) under Exophiala mesophila. RNAcentral describes it as "tRNA-Ser (AGA) (tRNA-Ser-AGA-1-1)". It matches the Rfam family "tRNA". Rfam says of the family: Transfer RNA (tRNA) molecules are approximately 80 nucleotides in length. Their secondary structure includes four short double-helical elements and three loops (D, anti-codon, and T loops). Further hydrogen bonds mediate the characteristic L-shaped molecular structure. tRNAs have two regions of fundamental functional importance: the anti-codon, which is responsible for specific mRNA codon recognition, and the 3' end, to which the tRNAs corresponding amino acid is attached (by aminoacyl-tRNA synthetases). tRNAs cope with the degeneracy of the genetic code in two manners: having more than one tRNA (with a specific anti-codon) for a particular amino acid; and 'wobble' base-pairing, i.e. permitting non-standard base-pairing at the 3rd anti-codon position. Lineage: Eukaryota; Fungi; Ascomycota; Eurotiomycetes; Chaetothyriales; Herpotrichiellaceae. The record is from RNAcentral.